ACGUGUUGGAGUGGCCUUCGGGCCCGUCCUCCAUAAACCCACCUCUGUGUAGCAUUCCCUGUUGCUUCCGCGGGACAUCGGGGUUCGCCCUGGACGUCGGCGAGGAGGGGCCUCCUUCUGGGAGGAUUCUUCCGAGCCCGGCGGAGCGCCCGCGGGAGGUCAAUCAGAAACCCUUUUGCGAUACAUAGCUUCUGUCUGAAUGAAUAAAUAUAAUAAGUUA
This 220-nucleotide unclassified non-coding RNA is filed under the name uncultured Ascomycota. Its description in RNAcentral is "sequence contains ITS1". Lineage: Eukaryota; Fungi; Ascomycota. The record is from RNAcentral.